AGAGAGAGACAUGCGCGCAUAUCAAUAAGCGGAGGAAAAGAAACUAACUAGGAUUCCCUAGUAACGGCGAGUGAGGCGGGAAGAUCUCAAAUUUGAAAUCUUAAAGGUUUUCCCUUGACGAAUUGUAGUUUAAAGAAGUGUUUUCUGUUGAGGUUUUGGUAAAAGUUCUUUGGAAUAGGACAUCAUAGAGGGUGAGAAUCCCGUAUUUGACCUUUACUUUCAACUUUGUGAUACACUUUCAAAGAGUCGGAUUGUUUGGGAAUGCAGUCCAAAAUGGGUGGUAAAUUUCAUCUAAAGCUAAAUAUUGGCGAGAGACCGAUAGCGAACAAGUACCGUGAGGGAAAGAUGAAAAGAACUUUGAAAAGAGAGUUAAACAGUACGUGAAAUUGUCAAAAGGGAAGCGUUUGACACCAGUGUUGUUUUUCUGAAAAUCAAUUAAAGAACUGUUUAUGCUAAGCUGUUUAGACUUUAUCAGCUAACUGUUUAGUUUUGAGCUUUUCUUUAAUGCACUUUUCAGUUAACAAGUCAACAUCAAUUUCUUUUGCUGUAAAGAAGCUUGAGGAAGGUGGCUUGAGAUUCGUCUUAAGUGUUUAUAGCCUCUUGCCUAUGCAGUCGGAGAGAUUGAGGUCUGCAGCGUAGAUCCUUCGGGGCUAAAUGCAUUUGUGCUAAGUUAUAGCAUUUUAUAGACAACUUGUUGACUAUGAUUUGUCUUGUAGCUUACUCGCUUAUGCUAUUUUACCUACGCUUAGGAUGUUGAGCGCAUGUCUCUCUCU
This 773-nucleotide ribosomal RNA is filed under the name uncultured Neocallimastigales. RNAcentral's name for it is "partial large subunit ribosomal RNA". It matches the Rfam family "Eukaryotic large subunit ribosomal RNA", at positions 23 to 616 of the family's 3401-position model. The record is from RNAcentral. Lineage: Eukaryota; Fungi; Neocallimastigomycota; Neocallimastigomycetes; Neocallimastigales.